AGUAUUUUUGAAUUCAUUAAUGUAGUAGCUUUUAUUAUUAAUAACUUAUUUUACUUAAAUAUAUUACCAGGAGUGUUGUAUAUAACAUGUUUAAUAUUUUGUUAAAGGUCUUUGUCGUCUUACAAUUCAGUCUACAUCUUCUGGGUAUUGGACUAUUUACAUGUCUGAUCAAGAUAUUGGCAGGUUGCCUUCUGGGGCUCGUAGUCCAAGUUUACACAGUCAUGUUGAU
Non-coding RNA from Parasteatoda tepidariorum (common house spider), 229 nucleotides. NCBI's taxonomy places the organism in Eukaryota, Metazoa, Arthropoda, Arachnida, Araneae, Theridiidae. The record is from RefSeq and is a predicted model, not a curated record.